AAGAUGUUGUGACGAAAAUUUGAC
This 24-nucleotide small nuclear RNA is filed under the name Arabidopsis thaliana (thale cress). RNAcentral describes it as "snRNA_11248". Lineage: Eukaryota; Viridiplantae; Streptophyta; Magnoliopsida; Brassicales; Brassicaceae. The record is from RNAcentral.